RNAcentral lists this ribosomal RNA (134 nucleotides) under uncultured eukaryote. Its description in RNAcentral is "partial small subunit ribosomal RNA". It matches the Rfam family "Eukaryotic small subunit ribosomal RNA", at positions 1651 to 1801 of the family's 1831-position model. The record is from RNAcentral.
CCCUGCCCUUUGUACACACCGCCCGUCGCUCCUACCGAUUUCGAGUGGUCCGGUGAGCCUUUUGGACCGAGGGGCAACCUUCGCAAAUCAAGCAAACCUUAUCACUUAGAGGAAGGAGAAGUCGUAACAAGGUU